CGUAGGGUGCAAGCGUUGUCCGGAAUUAUUGGGCGUAAAGAGCUCGUAGGCGGUCCGUCGCGUCGGAUGUGAAAACCCGGGGCUUAACCCCGGGCCUGCAUUCGAUACGGGCAGACUCGAGUGUGGUAGGGGAGACUGGAACUCCUGGUGUAGCGGUGAAAUGCGCAGAUAUCAGGAAGAACACCGGUGGCGAAGGCGGGUCUCUGGGCCACUACUGACGCUGAGGAGCGAAAGCGUGGGGAGCGAACAGGAUUAGAUACCCUGGUAGUCCACGCCGUAAACGUUGGGCGCUAGGUGUGGGGGACUUUCCACGUCCUCCGUGCCGCAGCUAACGCAUUAAGCGCCCCGCCUGGGGAGUACGGCCGCAAGGCUA
This 373-nucleotide ribosomal RNA is filed under the name uncultured organism. RNAcentral describes it as "bacterial SSU rRNA". It matches the Rfam family "Bacterial small subunit ribosomal RNA", at positions 526 to 896 of the family's 1533-position model. The record is from RNAcentral.